AGAGUUUGAUCCUGGCUCAGAUUGAACGCUGGCGGCGUGCCUAACACAUGCAAGUCGAGCGGUAACAGGUGUAGCAAUACAUGCUGACGAGCGGCGAACGGGUGAGUAAUGCUUUGGAAUCUUCCCAGUAGUGGGGAAUAACCAGUCGAAAGAUUGGCUAAUACCGCAUACGUCUGUAAAGGGAAAGCGGGGGCUCGUAAGACCUCGCGCUAUUGGAUGAGCCAAAGUCGGAUUAGCUAGUUGGUGGGGUAAUGGCCUACCAAGGCGACAAUCCGUAGCUGGUCUGAGAGGACGACCAGCCACACCGGAACUGAGACACGGUCCGGACUCCUACGGGAGGCAGCAGUGGGGAAUAUUGGACAAUGGGGGAAACCCUGAUCCAGCGACGCCGCGUGUGUGAAGAAGGCCUGCGGGUUGUAAAGCACUUUUAGUGGGGACAAAAAGCUACGGAUUAAUACUCUGUGGUCUUGAUUUAACCCAAAGAAAAAGCACCGGCUAACUCUGUGCCAGCAGCCGCGGUAAUACAGAGGGUGCGAGCGUUAAUCGGAAUUACUGGGCGUAAAGCGCGCGUAGACGGUUUUGUAAGUCAGAUGUGAAAUCCCUGGGCUCAACCUGGGAACUGCAUUUGAUACUGCAUGGCUAGAGUAUCGAAGAGGGAAGUGGAAUUUCCGGUGUAGCGGUGAAAUGCGUAGAUAUCGGAAGGAACACCAGUGGCGAAAGCGACUUCCUGGUCGAAUACUGACGUUCAUGUGCGAAAGCGUGGGGAGCAAACAGGAUUAGAUACCCUGGUAGUCCACGCCCUAAACGAUGCGAACUGGAUGUUGGUCUCAACUCGGAGAUCAGUGUCGAAGCUAACGCGUUAAGUUCGCCGCCUGGGGAGUACGGUCGCAAGACUGAAACUCAAAGGAAUUGACGG
Molecule: ribosomal RNA, 916 nt
Filed under: uncultured Pseudomonadota bacterium
Lineage: Bacteria; Pseudomonadati; Pseudomonadota
Description: bacterial SSU rRNA
Rfam family: Bacterial small subunit ribosomal RNA
Source: RNAcentral